UUUUUCCCCCGCUCCCUCGCUGUUUCCUUCCCUCGACGCCGAACCCGUGCCCUACUUCUUCCUCCCCCGCGCGCCCGACUGUGCCCUAACAGCCUCUCCCAACCGGCGAUGCAAACCGCAGUUUCCUCUCGCGGAUAAACCCUCGGCCAAGCUCGCUUUCCUCUUCUUCUCCUCUGCCGACGCUGACCCCCUUUCCCUGUGCCCUAGCCGCCAGCCACCGAGAUCUUCUUCUUCCUCUUUCCCCAAGCGUCCACGACGAAUCUGCCACCGCCGAUCCACUGUCACCCUUGUGUGCCGACGCCGCCACUGACUUUUGAUCUGAGCAGCAUCGCCACACCCUUGCCCCGGUGCCCAGCCGUCCAAUUCCGUGCCCUAUUUUGGGUUCACAGUCGGCUGACUCUCCUUCUCCACGCCGAGCCCUAGUUUCCCGAGGCCGAUCUCUUCCUCUUUGCCGAGGUUUUUGUUGCUGCUUUCCACUGCGGACUCACAACCGAUCACCGCCGAUUUCCACACUGCGGCUGAUCGCUACUGUUUCCUUCAUCCGGUCCAGCCCUAGUUCUUCAUUGGUGCCCUAGAUUUGAUCUGCCCAUCUCCGGCUACUCAAGUCAGUGACUCCACCUGGGUUUUAUUUACAGCAACCUCAUGGGCUGUGAGGCUACGAAUGAAUGUUCGGAUGUGGUAUUGAUGUGAGUUUGAUUUGUCUACUUAGUUUCAGUGAUACUAUUCGCCAUCUAUUCGGAGCAUCAGUUGUUAUCACCGACCAUAAUUUCCAGCAAACUCACAACAAUGUGAGUGUAGACAAGAUUUUCAUUCGAGAAGAAACUUACUUUUUAAUAUCAACUAUCUUUAUAUUCUUUGUGAUGCAAUAUCAUUUACCUCUUGUAUCCGCUCAAAAUAAGUUUCUUAUUCAUAAUUAUGGUUUUACCUUCAAUACUGUCAAACCUACAUGUCCAUGAAUACUUUCUACUCUAUCAUACUCCACUCUCUGAUAAAGGGGCCUUUUUACUGCAGGGACCUGUCUUACAAUUCUCUUAAUGUUGUUAGGCUUUUUUCUUGUAGUGUCUUCUGCUUGGUGCAGGAAAUGGCAGAGGUUGUGACGAAAGAUUUUGGAAGGAUUGACAUCUUUGUGCAUUCUCUUGCCAAUGGACCAGAGGUAACGAAGCCACUCUUGGAGACAUCUAGAAGAGGGUAUCUUGCUACAAUUUCAGCUUCGAGUUACUCUUUUGUCUCCCUGCUUCGGCACUUUCUUCCAAUAAUGAAUCCAGGUUUCUUUUGAUUCCAUGAAAACAAAACAAUUGCAUGUACCAUUUGUGUGUAUAUUUCAACUUGAGAUCCUGACAAGAACAUCAUUAUCAAUCCAUCAUUAUAUCUUCUUCUUUACGCACAGAAUAAAGCAAUGCUAGUAGUUAUAAUAAAACCCAAAAUAAAGUUAUCAAACAAUUCCUUUUCUUGUUGGCACAUAGAUUUUAUAUCUCAUCUUCACUUUGUUUUGGAUGCCUCCGUUAAACAUGGCAAGCGGUGCUUCAAUAUCUUUGACAUACAUAGCUUCCGAAAGGGCAAUCCCAGGAUACGAAGGUGGAAUGAGCUCAGCAAAAGCUGCAUUGGAGAGCGAUACAAAAGUGUUGGCUUUUGAACUGCACUUGCUUGCCACAAAGCAUCAGGUGCCCUCAAGAGUACUGGGAAGAAUGUCGACAAACUAAAAAAAUGGAGAGACUUUAACAAAUUAAGGAGCACUAGGAGCUGCAGUCCCUCCUCUUCACCGACAUCUAAGUAGAAAAUCUCGUGUUAUAUUGUUCUACCUUUGUUUUAAUAGUGUUAUCAUU
This is an RNA transcript of Zingiber officinale, 1823 nucleotides long. It is a transcript of the gene named enoyl-[acyl-carrier-protein] reductase [NADH], chloroplastic-like, with no coding region annotated. NCBI's taxonomy places the organism in Eukaryota, Viridiplantae, Streptophyta, Magnoliopsida, Zingiberales, Zingiberaceae. The record is from RefSeq and is a predicted model, not a curated record. The transcript is spliced from 5 exons.